Pyrgilauda ruficollis (rufous-necked snowfinch) is the source of this 2249-nucleotide RNA transcript. It is a transcript of the gene named dystrobrevin binding protein 1, with no coding region annotated. NCBI's taxonomy places the organism in Eukaryota, Metazoa, Chordata, Aves, Passeriformes, Passeridae. The transcript is spliced from 12 exons. The record is from RefSeq and is a predicted model, not a curated record.
CCCCGCCCGCGCCCCGCCCUCCGGCGCUGGCCUUCGCAGCCGGGAAAGGCUGGGAAGAUGUUGGAGACGCUGCGGGAGCGGUUGCUGAGCGUCCAGCAGGACCUCACCGCCGGGUUGAAGACUUUGGGCGACAAAUCAAGAGAUGCAAAGAAAAGUAGGCAAAGAACUGUUCAGUGUUUGCCAGAGUUUUCUGCUGGACUGGAAUUACUAAGCAGGUAUGAAGAUGCUUGGGCUGCCCUUCAUAAAGGAGCCAAAGAUUGUGCAAAAGCUGGAGAGCUGGUUGACAGUGAAGUUGUGAUGCUUUCUGCACACUGGGAGAAGAAAAGGAGCAGUCUGGUGGAACUGCAGGAUCAGCUUCAGCAGAUACCAGGGUUCUUAGCAGAUCUGGAAUGCCUCACAGCAAGCCUAGCCCAGCUAGAGGCAAACUUUGAGGAAAUGGAGAAUCAUCUGUUGUGUCUUGAGGAACUAUGUGAGCAGUGUGAAUUGGAAAGGUACAAAUGUAUGCAAACAUUACAGCUGGAAAACUACAAGAAAACAAAAAGGAAGGAACUGGAGACAUUCAAAGCUGAACUCGAUGCUGAACAUGCGCAGAAGGUUUUGGACAUGGAGCACACCCAGCAGAUGAAGCUAAAGGAGCGCCAGAAGUUCUUUGAAGAAGCCUUCCAGCAGGACAUGGAGCAAUACCUUUCCACAGGAUACUUGCAGAUAGCCGAGAGGAGAGAACCCAUUGGAAGUAUGUCUUCCAUGGAGGUGAACGUGGACAUGCUGGAGCAGAUGGACCUAAUGGACAUGUCUGACCAGGAAGCACUCGACGUCUUUUUGAACUCAGGAAGCGAAGACAAUAAUGUGCUGUCUCCCAUGCUGGGGCCUGACUCCAACACCUACGUGAACGAGAUCAGUCUCCAGGUGCCGAGCCAGUCGGAGUUACGGCAGAAACUCUGUUCCCUGUCCUCGACCUGCACCGACUCCGCCAGCCAGGACGCGAGCGAAGGAGAAUCCCCCGUUGUUCAGUCGGAUGAAGAGGAGGUUCAAGUGGACACUGCCCUUGCUGCUGUAACUGAGAGAAAGGGUGCUUCAGAUGGCAGUGAUGAAAGUGACUCUCAAACUAAUUGAAUCUUAAAACCAUAUCCUUUAAGAAUGUCUUCUGAAUGAAUGAACAAGUGAAUGAAGAGCUUGCCUGUGUAACAAUUUGCUAACCAAGCGUAACAGCCAGAUCUUUUUACUUAGUAAUACUGCCUUUUUACAAAAUUGCCAGUCAUGUGGAGGUUGGUUUUUAAAGAAAAAAUUACGCCUAAAGCACACACACUUUAACAGUAGUCUUGGGGCUCAGGGGAGCAGUAAAGCUGUUGUAUAUACUAUGUAUAAGAGAAUUUAAGGGGAAAGGUAGAAGUUACUUUGACCACUAACCUUUAAAUGGCUGAUUGGAAGUACUUAAGAGUUGAUGUGUAAUACUGAACCCAAAUUGUUCCUUGCAUGUUUUCAGCUGCUGCAAAUGAAGAUUUAGGAUCCAAACCAAAAUGAAAAGUUAUUUUCUACUCUUUACUACCUACUGUCUGCCUCCUGCCUUUGUCUACUAACGCAGCGGUGUCUACUGUUCUCACACUUCUUAUUCAGGACCAACUUAGUUAUAGGUGUUAAGGAAAAAAUAAGAACCCGAGAAGGAGGAGAGAUGCAUAUGGAAAUGUUGCACUCCUUGUGGAGCAGGUAUUUUAUCCAUGACAAGUGAACAGAGGAGCCUAACUCAGGAAGAAAAAUGAUUAGGAGCACCAAUGUAAUGUGCUUUUCCAUGGUAACAUCUGUUUGACUACACUAGGGAGAUAAACCUGAGUUAAUUGUUAAUUAAGUUUGUGUAUUUUAGAAACCUCAGGACCUAUAGGCAUCAUCUCAUUCCCAUUUUUUCUGCAGUCGUUUUUCUCUCUGAACUUGAGGUCUGAGCAUGUCUAAUGCCUGUUGCUUGUCAAGUCUCAUGCUCUGUUUUCAGGGAUCUGCUCUCCUUUGAGAAGGCUCCUGGCUCCUGCUCUUCCUGCACAGAGGGAAGGAAUGUAAUCAGAAACAGUAUGCAUAGUGAUGUGCUGGUAAAAGAGAACAUACUCCAAAUCUCCUCCUUUUGCCUACAGUUAGGAAACAAAGUCCAUCUUCAGCUGCCAUAACCUCCCAAAGAAAGUGUGUAUUCUCCAAUUUAAAAAAUUACAAAACUCAUCUUGCUGUGACAGAAUAAAAGACAGCCAAAGUAAAGCAAUUUCUUUCAA